UGUAUUUCUGAUCAAUUUUAUGUUAUUUUAAUGGACAAAAAAUGUGCUUUUCUUUCAAAACAAGGACAAACAGUUUUUGAACGGUAGUGUAUAUUGUUCCUGAUAUUUGGAGUGUUGGUAAUAUGACACAGGUGAUUUUGGAGCGUUGGUAAUAUGACACAGGUGACUUUGGAGCGUUGGUAAUAUGACACAGGUGACUUUGGAGCGUUGGUAAUAUGACACAGGUGACUUUGGAGCGUUGGUAAUAUGACACAGGUGUAUAAAGAAUGCACAGUAGAGAGCACAUUCUCCAGGAAUAUCCAGCAAUAUUGGUCAUUGACAAUAUAUGACCAGGAACAAGAGUACAUCCUCCUGUGACAAUGAACCUGUUUCUGCAAACCAACUCUAGAUUGAAUCCAUGACAGUUCUGCUUUUAGUAAAGGUAGAUUUACUCAAUGUUUCUGAAGAAUGAUUUACAUUGGUGUUGGUAUUUAAUUAUGUUGAGGGGAUCUUUCCUAAAUAUCUGUACAAGAUGCAGAUUUUUAUUUUCAGAACAAAAUGUUCAAUUUUACAUUUAGUUAUUUAAAUUAAAAAUGUUAUUUUUGUUGAAUGAUUAUAGAGUAAAAAACAUUUUAAAUGGUUGUAAACAAGUCAUGUUUCCAGAAAGUUCAAAAAAGCCCACCUCCAAAUCAGACUGGAACAUUAUGGACUUUUUAAUGUUAAUAAUACAAAGAAAAUUGGACUAGCUGUAUUUUUUUUAAUGUACAUUUACAGUAUGUGUUUUUAGAUGUCCCUUCAAAAACAUUGUUUAGAGCUGUAGUGGUGCUUUCUACUCUCGGUACUGUUUUGUCACAAUCAGUUGUUUGUACACUUUUUUGUUGUAAUGUUUGGAUUUCGUUCCAGUGUUUUGUCACUAUCAAUGUUAUGGAACAAGCGAUGCUAUGUUUUUAUCUUCCUGAAUCAGACAUGAGUCCAUUGGGCAUUUCUAUAAUUAUUUAAGUCAAUGAUGUGGAGGUGCAAUUGUCUGAUACUACUAUGGCCCUCAAACUAAACUUUGGACCUCGAAGCCAGUUACCCUUUUUUUAUUAUUAUAAUUUUUUUCUCUAAUCAGGGACUGAUUUUAGGUUUGUGCAAUUAAUUAUCAGGUAGAAUAGAACCAGUAGGCGCCGGACCUCGUAGGGAAGGGGUGUCAAACUCAGUCUGUGGAGGGCCUAGUGUCUGCAGGUUUUUGUUUUUUUCCAUUCAAUUAAGGCCUAGACAACCAGGUGAUGGGGAGUUUUAUUAGUUAGUGACCUUAAUUCAUAAAUCGAGUACAAGGGAGGAGCGAAAACAAUUAAGACCUAGGCAACCAGGUGAGGGAAGUUCCCAACUAAUCAAUAACUUUAAUUUAGCAAUCAAGUACAAGGAAGGAGUGAAAAUAUGCACUCAGCCCUCCAUGAACACUCAGCCCUCCAUGAACACUCAGCCCUCCAUGAACACUCAGCCCUCCAUGAACACUCAGCCCUCCAUGAAAUUCGUUUUGACGCCUGUGCUCUACGACCAAUAUCUAGUCGUGAGAAAUAUCUUCUCAGUACUUUGUAAACGGUUACCAUGAAUCUAAUGAUUCUAUUAAUAUAUUGGCACCUCAGCUCGACAAACACUGUUUCUGGGCAGAAAUAUUCUGACCUUUUAGCUCAAUGUUCGUUUUCACUAGCACCUGUCACCUAAAACGUGUAAACCAUGCUUUGAGUUUUAUAUACGCUGUGUUUUUUGUAAAAUCUCAAUGUUACAGGCUGAAGAAUGUGCAUUGCUGUGGAUAUUGCAACUGGUAUUGUCUCUCUCGUCUAGAAGGGAUAAUUUUGCUGCUAGGGGAAUGAUUCAGAUUAACCUUAAUGCUUCAACUUUCAAUCAAUAAUGAUAACCCUAAAACCUGCAAAUAGUUAUUAUGCUUCCUCAUUUUCCCCUCCACUUACAAAGAAUCGGCUCAAUCAAAGUGAUUAAGUGUAUGCUGAAAUUCUUUCUUUUUUUUUGUUAAGGUACAUUAUACCACCUGUUGACAUCUCUAAUCACCUGCUUUUUAUUUAAGUGUUUGAAACAAACCAUUAAGAGGCAUUUAGAACAUAUCAGACACUGAGUCUGUUGAACUUCCAGUGGAAUUGUUUCCUCAGGGAAAUGUGUAUUUGUAACGAAUCAAGAAAUAUAAUGAAGUUAAUUACCUAACUGAAUUAAAAACAAUCCUGUUGGUAAACAUUUUAUUACAGUUCUAUUGUAUGUAGAUUGCUUGUUGUGCUACCAAAUCCAAUCUCCCAACCCCUAAGAGGCUUCUCUGGAAAAAAAAAAAUAAAACUUUUGUAAACGUAGAUUACUUAGCAAAUUUUUGUACUUGUAAUUUAUUUGUAUUUCUUUACUUAGGAUAGUGUUUCUAAUUUCUUUCGUUUUCUUUUCAAUAAAUGUGGUUGUCAAAUAAA
Long non-coding RNA from Salvelinus namaycush (lake trout), 2426 nucleotides. RefSeq lists it as uncharacterized. NCBI's taxonomy places the organism in Eukaryota, Metazoa, Chordata, Actinopteri, Salmoniformes, Salmonidae. The record is from RefSeq and is a predicted model, not a curated record. The transcript is spliced from 2 exons.